GUCGAGAAGUUGUAGAAAAAUCUCAAUUCUUUGGCUCUGCAAAGCCCUCUGUCCAUGGGGGCCAUGCACAAGGAAGGGAUAGCAGGAGGUUCUGGAAGUACCAAGAAAACCAAGAAUACAAAAAGCACUGAGUGUGAAGAGCAAGUGAACAAAUCAGUGGAGAUGCUGGUGUGCUAGUGCUGCUGGCAGGAUUUUACCAUUCCAAGGAGAGGCUGGUGGUUUGCUCCUUCAGGGUGGCUGCAAGUGAGAACUGAAACAUCGGAGGACGAACCUGCGGGUAGCCAAAGGACGUGGGCACUGGAACAAGUUCAAGAAGCAAAUCCAUGCCAGAAUUCCCAAACCUGGAAGAACUCCAUCAUCUAUCACCCCAGAGUGACUAAUAAACAAAAUAGGAACUGGUAAAAUUGCUGCACAGGCUGCAAGAAGCUGAGUGGGAGCCAUUAUGGGAGCAGUUAUGUGGGACCCAAAACAGCACCAUUUUUCCUCAGGAAGCAGCAGAACUGGGUGCAUAAAUGCAAUAAAUAAAUGCAUAAAUGCACAUGUGAAGCCAGUCAGAUGCAACUCUUGAAGAUACAAAGCCGCACAGAAGGAGUUCAGUGGAAAAACAAAGUAAAAAUUUGAGGAAAUCAUUCGGGUUGCAGCAAAGCUGAAGACAUCCUGUGGUCACAAAAGUAGGAAGCAGAUGAGUUGCUGAAAGCAAGAAGUUAUGCAUUAAAAACCUGGACAAUGCAGGAGCCUGACAAAAUAUCCAAAAAGCACAUGCUGCAUCUUAGGUGUCUUACAUAUGGUACAGCUGCUAAGAAAAAGAUUCAUCUGAAAUGUAUAAUUGCUGAACUGGUGUGUUGAAAAAAGUAUGAAAAUUGCUGGGAAAGAAAUAGAAUGGUGUGUUAGCAACAUCAUACUAUUAAAAAAAAAAAAAUCUGAAAUUUAAAAACCGAGUAAUGGGUUGCUUUUUCGAGAUAGACUAAGUUAGUUUCAAGUUAUAAAAUGAGAACCGCUUAACUUCUUUUCAUAAUUGCAAGACUAAAUUUCGCUCUGGGUGCAGAGUAGAAGUCCACAAUUGAUAAAAUCUCUAUUAAACCUACUGUUUUUUAUAAUGAAGAUGGUAGUUAAAUUAACUAAGGCAAUGCUUUUGGUGCUGCUCUGAGAACUCUUGAGCAUGGAACUAAUUUCAUCUCUCUCUAGCUGGAGAGGAGGUUAGUUUCCAAAGCAUAUGUUCAGCAUAGCUUGCCUAUUUAGACCUGCGAAUUUCGGAACCUACAAAGAACAGAGCAGAAAGGCUUGCCAGUGAGCAAAGGGCCAAACAGCACAGGCUUAUUAUUAUAACAGAAUUCCAAUAGACACUUUGUAAAGAAAAUUACUUAUCUGCCAUGUAGAAUUCUCCAGGGAGUCCACAGUCCCCUCGGGAAGGAGUUCCCACAAUGACUGCAAGAUC
This is a long non-coding RNA of Serinus canaria (Common canary), 1435 nucleotides long. RefSeq lists it as uncharacterized. NCBI's taxonomy places the organism in Eukaryota, Metazoa, Chordata, Aves, Passeriformes, Fringillidae. The transcript is spliced from 2 exons. The record is from RefSeq and is a predicted model, not a curated record.